UCUGUUCAGAAGUUACAUGCCUCCCAGUCCCACAUUCGCCUGGACUUCACUGUAAGAUGACGAUAGCUUGCUGGUGGUAUUAUCUGCAAGCGAAACUGCUUUGGAACCCGCGCAAAUUAGCAAUUGUUUGUUAGUACUUUUUUAAAAGUUAGCAAUCGUUAAAUGCAAAAAUAUUUAAACACCGUUGUCUAUUA
Molecule: long non-coding RNA, 194 nt
Organism: Ananas comosus (pineapple)
Lineage: Eukaryota; Viridiplantae; Streptophyta; Magnoliopsida; Poales; Bromeliaceae
Exons: 2
Source: RefSeq, a predicted model, not a curated record